RNAcentral lists this non-coding RNA (31 nucleotides) under Rattus norvegicus (Norway rat). Lineage: Eukaryota; Metazoa; Chordata; Mammalia; Rodentia; Muridae. The record is from RNAcentral.
UUUGGCAUCGUGAUCAAUGUACUCUUGCUGA